UACUGCGAGUGAGAGGGAAGAGCUCAUCAUUGGAAUCUGGCAGUGUUGCACUGUCCGAGUUGUAGAUGAGGAGUAGUCCGUCUGGACUGCAUGGCGUCCAAGUACAAUAGGCCGUCAGUGGGACAUCAUAGAGGGUGACAAUCCCGUCCUUGACGCCAAUGUGCAAGUCUAUUACGAUGGCUAUCUCAGAGAGUCGAGCAGUUUGGGAUUUGCUGCUUAAACAUGGGAGGUAGAUUCCUUCUAAAGCUAAAUACAGGCGAGAGACCGAUAGAGAACAAGUACCGCAAGGGAAAGAUGAAAUAGCACUCUGUGAAGGGAGUCAAAAGGCGUGAAAUUGUUGCGAGAGAAGCGAUUCAAGUCAGCGUAGCUAGGCCCAUCAAGCGUCUUCGCUUUGGACUAGCUUUGCCAGCGGUCUUGUCCCUUGAAGAGACUUGACUUGUAAUAUGUCCAGCCUGGCGUGCACAGGCAGCCCCUUCUGGGGGCCAGUGGCAUGGCUGGUGGAAUGGCUUGCAAUCGACCUGUCUUGAAACACGGACCAAGGAGUCUAACAUGUAUGCGAGUAUAAGGGUGGCAAACCCGUAUGCGCAAUGAAAGUGAUUUUCGGUGAUUGAGAAUGGCCUGAUGACCAGACAAGCAAUAUAUGUCCCUCGUACGGCCAUUGCCCAAGUUCCGUGGUAGAUCCCACGAACAUGGAGUUGGAGCAUACAUGCUAGGACCCGAAAGAUGGUGAACUAUGCCUGGACAAAGCGAAGCCAAAGGAAACUCUGGUGGAGGCUUGUAGCGAUUCUGACGUGCAAAUCGAUCGUCUGAUCUGGGUAUAGGGGCGAAAGACUA
RNAcentral lists this ribosomal RNA (834 nucleotides) under Cantharellus elongatipes. Its description in RNAcentral is "partial 25S ribosomal RNA". It matches the Rfam family "Eukaryotic large subunit ribosomal RNA", at positions 85 to 933 of the family's 3401-position model. The record is from RNAcentral. Lineage: Eukaryota; Fungi; Basidiomycota; Agaricomycetes; Cantharellales; Hydnaceae.